Molecule: ribosomal RNA, 465 nt
Filed under: uncultured bacterium
Lineage: Bacteria
Description: partial 16S ribosomal RNA
Rfam family: Bacterial small subunit ribosomal RNA
Source: RNAcentral
GACGAACGCUGGCGGCGUGCUUAACACAUGCAAGUCGAACGGUAAGGCCCUUUCUGGGGUACACGAGUGGCGAACGGGUGGGUAACACGUGAGUAACUUGCCCACAACUUUGGGAUAACGCUAGGAAUCUGGCGCUAUUUCUGGCUAUGUAGGACUUCUGCCUGCUGGGGGUUGGAAAGCUACGGUGGUUGUGUGUGGAUUGGCGGCCUGUCUGCUUGUUGGUUGGGUAGUGGCCUACCAAGGCGGGGGCGGGUAGCCGGCCUGAGUGGGUGACCGGCCACAUUGGGACUGGGAUACGGCCCAGGCUCCUACGGGGGGCAGCAGUGGGGAAUAUUUCACCAUGGGCGCGAGCCUGAGGCAGCAACGCCGCGGGCGGGAUUGCGGCCUUCGGGUUGUAAACCGCUUUCAGCAUGGACCGAGCUGUUAGUGACGGUACCUGCAGAAGAAGCACCGGCUAACUACGUG